Molecule: ribosomal RNA, 253 nt
Filed under: uncultured Solibacillus sp.
Lineage: Bacteria; Bacillati; Bacillota; Bacilli; Caryophanales; Caryophanaceae
Description: partial 16S ribosomal RNA
Rfam family: Bacterial small subunit ribosomal RNA
Source: RNAcentral
UACGGAGGGAGCUAGCGUUGUUCGGAAUUACUGGGCGUAAAGCGCGCGCAGGUGGUUCCUUAAGUCUGAUGUGAAAGCCCCCGGCUCAACCGGGGAGGGUCAUUGGAAACUGGGGAACUUGAGUGCAGAAGAGGAUAGUGGAAUUCCAAGUGUAGCGGUGAAAUGCGUAGAGAUUUGGAGGAACACCAGUGGCGAAGGCGACUAUCUGGUCUGUAACUGACACUGAGGCGCGAAAGCGUGGGGAGCAAACAGG